RNAcentral lists this ribosomal RNA (467 nucleotides) under uncultured bacterium. RNAcentral's name for it is "partial 16S ribosomal RNA". It matches the Rfam family "Bacterial small subunit ribosomal RNA", at positions 29 to 507 of the family's 1533-position model. The record is from RNAcentral.
ACGCACGCUGGCGGCGUGCUUAACACCUGCAAGUCGAACGGAAAGGCCCUGCUUUUGUGGGGUGCUCGAGUGGCGAACGGGUGAGUAACACGUGAGUAACCUGCCCUUGACUUUGGGAUAACUUCAGGAAACUGGGGCUAAUACCGGAUAGGAGCUCCUGCUGCAUGGUGGGGGUUGGAAAGUUUCGGCGGUUGGGGAUGGACUCGCGGCUUAUCAGCUUGUUGGUGGGGUAGUGGCUUACCAAGGCUUUGACGGGUAGCCGGCCUGAGAGGGUGACCGGCCACAUUGGGACUGAGAUACGGCCCAGACUCCUACGGGAGGCAGCAGUGGGGAAUAUUGCACAAUGGGCGGAAGCCUGAUGCAGCAACGUCGCGUGCGGGAUGACGGCCUUCGGGUUGUAAACCGCUUUCGCCUGUGACGAAGCGUGAGUGACGGUAAUGGGUAAAGAAGCACCGGCUAACUACGUG